RNAcentral lists this unclassified non-coding RNA (222 nucleotides) under Zea mays. RNAcentral describes it as "misc RNA Zm00001eb083120". The record is from RNAcentral. Lineage: Eukaryota; Viridiplantae; Streptophyta; Magnoliopsida; Poales; Poaceae.
UUGAGGUCGUCUAGCCGUGGUCCUCGCUCUAGUACCCAAGGAAACGCCGAGCUGAUCCGGGUGCAGGAAGCUUUGAGGCGGCAGGAGGAGUAUAACAAGCAACAACAAGAGUACUGGGCUGCUCAAUUUGCACGACAGCAGGAGAUGAUGCAGCAAAUAGCACUAGGGCAACGUCCAGAUUUUUCAGCGAUGACUAUGCCACCUCCUCCACCUAUCCCGUAG